AAUAAAUAAAUAAAUAAAUAAAUGAUGUAAUUUCGUCCCACCGUUGUGAUGUGGUUUGAUUUGUAGUCCGGUGGGGUGACAUCAUCGCUUGUGUCACAUCUAGUCCCUGUAUCAGCUCUGCUCAAAGGGGUGAUGGCUUAUUCCAGACUGCUGGUAUUCCUGUUUGUCCCUCGUUUCCAGUGAAGAGUGUCCUUUGGAAGCACCCAGGAGAGGAAGCAGUUGCCCCUCCACUGCGCCCCGAACAGGCUUGGGGUCGAGGUGCCCCCUCUUCUGGAGAGGCCUCACUUGGGGCCAGGCUGCUACAACAACCGCACUGUGAUCAGUUUUUCUUCUCAGCUGGAGAAGAGGCCCGAGAGCAGGAAGGGGUACACUAUAGGGGCUCGGACCACGGGCCGCUUCCUACCCUCUACUGCACAGUUGUCCAGUGUGCAGAGGCUCCCUCUCCAGUGGAGUACCAGGCAGAGUGGUGCCGUGAGCGCGUCUUCCCCCUGUACCCUGCCCCCUUCUGCUCCAGCACAGCGAUGUUCCAGAACCACGGCCCCCUCAAGUGCCCCACUCCAGGCUUCUCACCGACAAGGAAUUCCGAAAACAACGCAACAGGAUUGCCUACCUCAGCUUGUACUACAGCUAAGCCGUGCUGCUGAAGACUGCAUCA
Long non-coding RNA from Polyodon spathula (Mississippi paddlefish), 655 nucleotides. RefSeq lists it as uncharacterized. The record is from RefSeq and is a predicted model, not a curated record. The transcript has 4 exons. NCBI's taxonomy places the organism in Eukaryota, Metazoa, Chordata, Actinopteri, Acipenseriformes, Polyodontidae.